AAGUCGUAACAAGGUUUCCGUAGGUGAACCUGCGGAAGGAUCAUCCAAACGUUAACCCCCCGGGAACCUUCAAUGUGCUCGUACACUUUGUCAAAGCGAGGCAAUCCCUGGUAAAUCACCAGCGCUUAAUUGUGCGGCGACCAAAAACCGAACAACUGUUAACAAUGGAUAUCUUGGUUUUC
Molecule: unclassified non-coding RNA, 182 nt
Filed under: fungal sp.
Lineage: Eukaryota; Fungi
Description: partial internal transcribed spacer region
Rfam family: Eukaryotic small subunit ribosomal RNA (bases 1-46)
Source: RNAcentral